RNAcentral lists this ribosomal RNA (508 nucleotides) under uncultured bacterium. RNAcentral describes it as "partial 16S ribosomal RNA". It matches the Rfam family "Bacterial small subunit ribosomal RNA", at positions 28 to 523 of the family's 1533-position model. The record is from RNAcentral.
GAUGAACGCUAGCUACAGGCUUAACACAUGCAAGUCGAGGGGAAACGACAUCGAAAGCUUGCUUUUGAUGGGCGUCGACCGGCGCACGGGUGAGUAACGCGUAUCCAACCUGCCCACCACUUGGGGAUAACCUUGCGAAAGUAAGACUAAUACCCAAUGAUAUCUCUAGAAGACAUCUGAAAGAGAUUAAAGAUUUAUCGGUGAUGGAUGGGGAUGCGUCUGAUUAGCUUGUUGGCGGGGUAACGGCCCACCAAGGCUACGAUAAGUAGGGGUGCGGAGAGGAAGGUCCCCCACAUUGAGACUGAGACACGGUCCAAACUCCUACGGGAGGCAGCAGUGAGGAAUAUUGGUCAAUGGGCGAGAGCUUGGACCAGCCAAGUAGCGUGCAGGAUGACGGCCCUAUGGGUUGUAAACUGCUUUUAUAAGGGAAUAAAGUGAGCCUCGUGAGGCUUUUUGCAUGUACCUUAUGAAUAAGGACCGGCUAAUUCCGUGCCAGCAGCCGCCGUAA